GUGAACCUGCGGAAGGAUCAUUGUCGAAACCUGCUCUGCAGUACAACCCGCGAACAAGUUUAUCCACAGCUGAAGGAGCCUUGUGCUCCUGACGCAUGGCCAUGCGUGGUGCUAAGUACCUCGCGGACGCCACAUAAACAAACCCCGGCGCGGAAAGCGCCAAGGAAAAUGAACAUGCAAGCGAGAUCCCCACGAUCACCCCGGAAACGGUGCGUGCUUCGUAGGUGUUUCUCCCUCUAUAACCAAAACGACUCUCGGCAACGGAUAUCUCGGCUCUCGCAUCGAUGAAGAACGUAGCAAAAUGCGAUACUUGGUGUGAAUUGCAGAAUCCCGUGAACCAUCGAGUUUUUGAACGCAAGUUGCGCCCAAACCCUUCGGGUCGAGGGCACGUCUGCCUGGGUGUCACGCAACGUCGCUCACUCACUUCCCUUACUCAGGCCUCGUGAGUUCGAGCGGAAAAUGGCCUCCCGUGAACCUCGUGAUUGCGGUUGGCCCAAAUAGGAGACCAAUUCGGCCAGUGCCGUGGCAUUCGGUGGUUGAAAGAACCCUCACAACGCCUCGUCCACUCGGUCGAACAAAAAAGGGUCUCAAUAACCCUCUUUGUAUCUGACGCGACCCCAGGUCAGGCGGGAUUCCCG
RNAcentral lists this ribosomal RNA (638 nucleotides) under Cicca betsileana. RNAcentral describes it as "eukaryotic LSU rRNA". The stretch from base 250 to 405 matches the Rfam family "5.8S ribosomal RNA". Lineage: Eukaryota; Viridiplantae; Streptophyta; Magnoliopsida; Malpighiales; Phyllanthaceae. The record is from RNAcentral.